Long non-coding RNA from Corapipo altera (White-ruffed manakin), 1996 nucleotides. RefSeq lists it as uncharacterized. Lineage: Eukaryota; Metazoa; Chordata; Aves; Passeriformes; Pipridae. The transcript has 4 exons. The record is from RefSeq and is a predicted model, not a curated record.
GCAAAAUUAAAUUAUUACUAAUCAAAUCAGAGUAGUAUAAUGAGAAAUAAAACCAAAUCUUAAAAAUACUUUCCUCCCAGCCCUCCCUUCUUCCCAGGCUUACCUUUACUCCUGAUCUUCACUAUCUUCAUCCCACAAUGAUGCAGGGGGACAGAGAAUGUAUCAGUUCAUCAGUCUCUGCCACUUCUUCCUCCUCAGGGUGAGGAUUCCUCACACUCCUGCCCUGCUCCAUUGUGGGACCCCUCUCACAGUUCUCCAUGAACUUCUCCAACGUGAGUUCUUCCCACAGGCUGCAGUUCUUCACAAACCGCUCCAGUGUGGCUCCCUGCCAUGGGAUGCAGUCUUUCAGAACAGGCUGUUCUAGUGCCCUGAAGAGAACUUGGAUGAAGAUCUUGAACAUCUGCAGCAGUAAACACUAGGUCUCUCCUGCAGAGCUUGGGAUUCAGGCUGCACAAUAACUACAUGUGGAUGAUUUUUCCAGGAGCUUUGCUGAUUCACAGAAACUAAGCCAAGCCCAAGGAUGGAGGAAUUUCUGCAGAACACAAUGCAAGCUCUGGCUGGAGACUUUCUGGUUCUAGUGGGAGAUGCCACUGUGAGGAUAAGGACCUUGGACUUCCUGAGAUGCCACAGUGACUGAGGCUGCCUGUCCACCAAAUGCAGCUGGGAACUCCUUACAGUUCUUGCCACAUUUUGGAAGUGGUGAGGAGAGAUGGUACCUGGCUUCUCUGAAGGAGUCCCGAUGAUCCCGGUCAGUCAAUGUGCAGCAUCUGAUUCCCACCUGAAUGUGGACUCCUCACAGGUUCCACGUCACUGCUUUCCUUGGAGAGCCCACAGGCACACAGGCAUCUUUCCAAUUAUGGGGUUUAAAUUUUUGGCCCUUUAGUUUUUAAGGAAUGUUUUUGACAUUUUCAAAGUUGAAGCAACUGGAGCUUUCUUUCAUCUAGGAGUGAAGUUGACUCAGCUCUGAUUUACCCACUUUUAUUUAAAGACCAUGACUACUACUUCUAAAAUGUUACUCAUGUAACUAUGUUAUUACAUUAUCUGUAAUGUUAUUACAUUAUCUGCUUUUCCAUCUGUUAAAUGCCAUGGUUCCAGCACCAAAAAUACCACUGUCUGACAGUAGCAGCUGUCAAAGGUCUAUUUAGGCAUCUUUAAAAAAUAGUAAAACCUGAUACCACUAAAUAUAAACCAAGUUUUAUUAUUAUAAAGUUUUCUUUGGAUGUGGUUUUAGAAAUGUUACUAUUUAUAGCACCUCUGGAAUUUUACUUCUGAUAGUAGGGAGAUUGUACUUAUCUAUAAUUUUAAGUAUAAUUAUUUGCUUAUUGUUGGUUUAAAUAAUGUUAUUUUUUAUAACUCACAUACAAAUAUAUAACCAUCUGUGUGAAUCUACCCUCAGCAUUCUGCGUGGCUGCUUCCCAACUCUGUUGGAACAGCACCUAUGACCAACCUGCUUCACACAGGAUAAAAAUCUAUCACAUGGACCAUACCCAUGUCCCAUCUUCUAGGUAACCCCCAUGACCUCAUGACAAAUCAAAAGUCUAAUUAUAAGCAUAGCUUAUGAAGCAGGAGAUGCCCUGAACCAAGUCCUGGGUAUCACUUAGAAGUGUAAAACUACAAUUCUGUAGUGAAUAGUGCACUUAAAUGUGAUUGAUAAUUGGAACAACAAGUUAAAUGAACCUUGUUUAUAAUAAUUGAGUAGAUCUGAAGACUUCUCAAAGCCAGGUGUCCCAUUAUUAAGCACCAUCUUAUGGACUCUAUUUCCUUCAGGAAUGUCACAGCCUUGGCUGGGCAUGAACAACCAACCAAAGAGGUUGUGCAACCCUGCAGCUCCACAGUGCUGCACACAGACAAGCUGUGUGUCUGCAAGAGGCCUGGGCACCCUGUCCCUGGUCCUGGCUGCUCUUACACGUCUGUCCCUGUGGGCUCAGCACCUGCUGGUCCUUCAGCCCAUCUGGAAAAUUGCUGAAGAGCACAGCUCUUCCAGUCACAGCCCAGC